AAGCAUUUCAGCUUUGAAAGGCCAAGAAUUAGGGAUUCGAACGUUUUUAUCCUUACACCCUAUUUAGUGAAAUUAUUAAUCAAAGCUAUUUUUUUUAAACGUUUGCGAUGUUCUUGACAUUUUUUGGCAAUCUAAAGUAAUCCUUUUGUUUACGUUGACGCUUUGAUUUCUCUACAAAUACGUACCAAAAGUUAACAAUGUACAAGGAAAUUCACGUCCAAUUAACUAACUUUUAUCUUUCAUGAUACGAGUAAAAUAGACUACAAAAUCCAGAAAAGAGCUUAAAAUUGUUUAGGGAACAUCUUCAUUAUCAGUUAACAACGUGCAUGUAAGCAAUUAUUAACCCAAUUCACUGUCACAGUAAGUGUAUUUGUUCGUUUACGGAAGUUUUUAUUAUAUUGCAUUUAAAAAGUUAUCAAAUUAAGAUUUACGUAUAAAAAAAUAUAGCGAUAACAAAUAAAAGAUUACACAUGGUUUAAAAAAUUUUUCUUUCCUCACGGUAUUUUUUGCAAAAUUUCCCUGACGUCCAGCUGUUAAACUAAUUAUUCAUUUCUGUUGGUGUUUAUUCAUAACCUUCUUUAAAUUAAAAAACUAAUUUUCUUCUGUAUUGAUGGUCA
This is a long non-coding RNA of Hylaeus volcanicus, 617 nucleotides long. RefSeq lists it as uncharacterized. The transcript is spliced from 3 exons. The record is from RefSeq and is a predicted model, not a curated record. Lineage: Eukaryota; Metazoa; Arthropoda; Insecta; Hymenoptera; Colletidae.